Molecule: RNA transcript, 871 nt
Organism: Drosophila grimshawi
Lineage: Eukaryota; Metazoa; Arthropoda; Insecta; Diptera; Drosophilidae
Gene name: probable serine/threonine-protein kinase samkC
Exons: 2
Source: RefSeq, a predicted model, not a curated record
UUGAUCUUCAGCCGCGACGCGCUGAGGUUCGUGACGGCAUUUUCUGUUUAUCGUUUACGUUUCGGAGCGGCUAAUUUGCAGCGUUGUCGUCUUUCGCGUUGCAUUUUAAAACCGUUUUGUUUUUUGUGUGGCGGUUUUUUUUUAACGUUUUUUUUCUUUUGACAAGUUUUGACAAACUAUUAAACAAUCAAAUGCGAAAAGAAAGAAGCACCACAAAGUAAAGCUCAUAAACAAUCAAUCAUCAGUAAUCAACAUCAAUCACAACGCAAGCAACUGUCCCAAAUUGGACCUGUAACUACUGCUGCUGCUGCUGCUGCUGCUGCUGCUGUUGUUGGUCAAGUGAAAGCUUCGACAAGAGCAACUGUUGCUGCAGAUGCUGUCGUGCGUCUGCCACAUAAUUCAAUCAAGCAGGCUAAGUCAACGACAACGCCAACGCCCCAGACGCGGUUUACUGAGAGCAGCAAUACCAACAACAACAACAAUAACAAUAACAAUAACAAUAACAGCUCCAUCUGCAAGCUGGGCUCAGUCAGUCAGUCAGUGAGUCAGAGACGCAGACGCCGGCACAGACGCUAUUGGCCGUGGCCAGGAACCAGUCACCAAACAGCAACUACUGCCAACUGGCAACCAGUCACGACCGCAGCAACUGUUGCUGCUGCUGCUGUGACUGCGACUGCGACUGCUUCUGGCAGGUUCACAAAUAAGUGAAAGUGAAUUUGUUUAUGGUAUAUUGCUAUUACCAAAGCGAAAGAGACAUAACACCGAACAAAAAACACCACAAAAACACACAAGAAGAAGCGGCAGCCAAAAAUCAUACUUCAAAUAGCAACAACAACAACGUGAGCAAUGCAAUUGCAAUAAAGAGAGAGAG